GAGUGAGGAAAAACUAAACCCCACAGUGAGGUACUGUGAUGUGCUUCUCAGUUUCUAAGCAUGACUAUGCCACUUCCAUAUAAUGAACCUCUCUGAGUCUUGCAGAAUAGCUAUUCACCAAUGCUGUUGUAAGGAGAGGAAUGUCACCCCCAUGAAGUUGCUGGGACAAGGUGCUCCUCAUCCGCAUCCUUACACGCAUGAUGGCACCCACAAGCAUUCCCUCACAAUGCAUUGCCAAGAUGGUUCAAGGAUGAAUUUCAGAGUUAAGAGUUGCUGUUUUGACACUGUGGAGGAGAUCUAAGAUGAAUUAUUGCAGAUGAUGCUUGACACACUUAAGGAAGAAGGCAUCUUGGGAGCAUUGUGAGCAUGGCAGAGUCGCUGGUAUUGCUGCAUGAGGUGACUCCUUUGAAGGCGAUUGCAUCAUUCUUUAGAUCAAGUAGGCAUGAUUCUAUUUUUUUAUGCAUGCAGUCUUGGAAGUUUAUGACUGUGCUUCAUGCAGAAUUGCAACAGAAGUUGAUUUUUGUUUUGUUCGGGUAAAGUCAUAGCAUUGCUUUGCUAUGUUAUGCAGUAAAGCAACUAUGACAUUUGAAAUGUACAUGUGUGACUGUAUAUAUUUUCUACUAGGCAAAAUGGUGGCUUUAAUCCAUGUUGUGUAAAUAAAGUGGUAAACUAUCAAA
Molecule: long non-coding RNA, 677 nt
Organism: Scylla paramamosain (green mud crab)
Lineage: Eukaryota; Metazoa; Arthropoda; Malacostraca; Decapoda; Portunidae
Exons: 3
Source: RefSeq, a predicted model, not a curated record